UGUUCCUACGGGACGCAGCAGUGGGGAAUAUUGCACAAUGGGCGAAAGCCUGAUGCAGCAACGCCGCGUGAAGGAAGACGGUUUUCGGAUUGUAAACUUCUGUUCUUAGUGAAGAAUAAUGACGGUAACUAAGGAGCAAGCCACGGCUAACUACGUGCCAGCAGCCGCGGUAAUACGUAGGUGGCAAGCGUUGUCCGGAAUUACUGGGUGUAAAGGGAGCGUAGGCGGGCGAGAAAGUUGAAUGUUAAAUCUACCGGCUUAACUGGUAGCUGCGUUCAAAACUUCUUGUCUUGAGUGA
RNAcentral lists this ribosomal RNA (298 nucleotides) under uncultured bacterium. Its description in RNAcentral is "partial 16S ribosomal RNA". It matches the Rfam family "Bacterial small subunit ribosomal RNA", at positions 334 to 649 of the family's 1533-position model. The record is from RNAcentral.